ACCAGACACCGACAGACCCUGACAGACACCGACAGACACCGACUCCCUCCUCUGGGAUACAGGACGAGUUGGCCGUAAGGUUCCUACAGCGGAGAGAGUUGGUCACAACUGUCUGACGUGUAAAAGACGAGAGAAUCUUUUCAACAUUUAUGUCGGUUUUAUUGACAACAUUGUCAAUAAGAAUCUGUUUUGGUGGCUGUGGAUUAUUAAUGACCUCGGUUAAUCACGACUAAUUGUGAUUAACCCCUUGGUCGUUUUUUACAAAUCCUGACUUCUACACUUCUCUUUGUAAUAUUGCUACAACAGGGACCGAUACAAAUGAUGAAUUAUAAAAGUGUUAAAAUGUAAAAAAAAAAAAAACAAUUCAUGCACGUGUAUAACUUUUCCAAGUUUAGUCAUUUCAGUAGAUCUUGCAGAAGGAAGUCUUUGUCUGCAACAAUAUAAAUCAGCCCUGGGUCCAUUGAGAUCCAGUUGAUAGUUGUGACGGUCUUUACAGAGUAUUUACUGCCCUCAUCAGGCUGGUCUGAUGACGACUGGGCGUCUGUGAGCUUGGCUUCCGUGAUGUCUGGACUCACUGACCAUUGACAUCCUUCUCUGAAACAAUGCCUACUGUAUAUUUGGAUGAUCAAAAAGAUCCACUUUAAUGAGUGAGGUCAAUCAUUACAGAGACCUUUUAACCCUGCAACCACUGUGGGGUAAAUAAUGGCUGGGUACAAACUCUUAUGAUCUGACAUUUUUAUUAACUGUCUGGGUAAUUUAUAUCAGCCUUCUAGUCAUACUAAAAUAUCAGUAGCGCUACUAUUAUUUUUUUUACCGUCCUCGUUGUUGCUGUUGUGCUGCACUAUUUCCUUUAAAUGCCCUAUGAUCUCGGUCCAAACUGUACGUGGUACAUUAAUAUGACAUCAGUGGAUGAACUCAGUGACUGCACAAUAACAGCCCCAGGCAAAACACUGGGACUGCACUUGAGCCAUAGCCAAACAUCGUGCAGUGGGAGAGACCUGGAGACAUUUCCAUGCUGUGUGACAGACUGAGAUGAUCUGCCAGGAAAAGUGAGAAAAACCAUUAAAACUCCAUAUGUGCAGAGCCUGUUGAAACCUGUCCGUUUGGAACUAUAGAGACAAUAUAGAGGCACAUGGCAGCCAGACCAAACGGGAAAAGUCACAGAACUUUCCAUGAGGCUACUGCAUGUGAUGUAACCUGGUCUGUGAGGGACAUGUUAACAGGAAUUCAUCCUGUUUUGUCAAUGGUUAAUGUUUUUCUGGUCUGGAAAACACGUGCUCUGAUCACAGAUGUGGAACGAUUACAUAACGAGCAGUAACAAUUAGAAUCAAAGCAGCAGAGUCGCUGUUAGGAGGCUGCGGUUUUGAUUGAUGAUUAAUUCAAUUAAAUGUCAGCUUUACUGUUGCCAGACGACACACACACACACACACUAUCACAUGCCAACAGCAGUGUGUACAUUUGUUUAUUGAUGCUGGCAUGUUUCUCAACCUGUGGAUCAGGCAGUUCACUGUUAUUUUCCUAAAGAGUCUGGGGUUGUGGAAACUACAGCGCUGUAAUAGUAAUAAUACACUUUUGUUCACCAGUCAACAGUUUAUGCUAAUACUUUUGUUUAGCAUAAACAUCUAUUUCUUGUCAAGAAUAUAUUUUGAUUAUUAAGUGUAAGCAAACAUGCAGCAGCCAGCUGCACGCUAGCUUGAGAAGCAGGCAGGUUUUUCUGAUUAUGACGUCAUCAUGCCAAAGAUGCAGCUGUCGCACGAGGUGCGUAUCGUAUCAGGUAUCAGGAAACUUGAGGAGUUUAUGUGUUGUACUGUUCAGGACAAAAGGUUACGUAUAAAAUAUAAAAUGAAAAUAAUUAGAUCAUUUUUAUUAUUAGCAUCUUUUUCGUAUCCUCGCUCCAAUUUUUAGGCCCGCUAGCGCCCCCUGGCAGCCCCAACUUUAAGGACCAUAACACAGUAGUGUGAGUUAUGGGUCCUUGAAUAAAGGAGUUAAAAUUAAACAAAUAUGUUGCUACUAUAUUCCUACUCAGAGCGCCACCUGCAGAUGGUUGUCUGAAGAUGUUUGUCUUCUCUAAACUGCCAAUCAACAUUGUUAUAAACAGUCCAUCAGAUUGACCAUCAGGCCACUAUCCUGCAAUAAUGUUUUGAUCAUAGUUCUGUGUCAGACCAAUGUAGCUGCAGUCCACCUAUUUUUUAUUAUCCUUUUAAAACAAUUAAAUUCCAUUUGAUUUUUA
Long non-coding RNA from Cynoglossus semilaevis (tongue sole), 2230 nucleotides. RefSeq lists it as uncharacterized. The transcript has 3 exons. The record is from RefSeq and is a predicted model, not a curated record. NCBI's taxonomy places the organism in Eukaryota, Metazoa, Chordata, Actinopteri, Pleuronectiformes, Cynoglossidae.